Molecule: long non-coding RNA, 457 nt
Organism: Ornithodoros turicata
Lineage: Eukaryota; Metazoa; Arthropoda; Arachnida; Ixodida; Argasidae
Exons: 2
Source: RefSeq, a predicted model, not a curated record
GCCUCUUGCUGUAUACUUUUUCUUUCUUUUAGACAGCGUUUUCUUAGAAACCGUUGACGUGCGAGUGGUUACGCAGGCAGGCUGCAUAUUACUGUAUACCAUUUCCCCCCAUGCAGCAAUUUUACCGUUACGUCUAAUAUUAAUGCUACAAGCCGUUCAUUUCUUCCAGGGCCAUUACCGAAGUGCAAGUGGUUAGGCAGACUGCCUACUACUGGAUACCUUUUUUUGUUUCCUUUCAGAGACCACCUCUUACUGUGUACGUCCCCCCCCCCCCUUUGAGACACCAUUGAAGGGCCAGUGGUUACGCAGGCAGGCUGGAUAUUACGACACAAUUGGCAUGCAUUGGGUGAUGCAGGCAGACUGCUUAGUGUGCACCACUCGUCGUUUAGUCUAUUGAGGUGCUACAAGUGUUGUGUCAGUCUAUUUCCUCUCCGAAAAUAAAAUGUUGGGCUCUACA